This 87-nucleotide small RNA is filed under the name Aquimarina sp. MMG015. RNAcentral's name for it is "tRNA-Ser". It matches the Rfam family "Selenocysteine transfer RNA". Lineage: Bacteria; Pseudomonadati; Bacteroidota; Flavobacteriia; Flavobacteriales; Flavobacteriaceae. The record is from RNAcentral.
GGAAGAGCAAGCCAAUAGGUGGUGGCCGCAGUCUUGAAAACUGUUAGGAGCUAAUGACUCGUGUGGGUUCGACUCCCACUUCUUCCG